GCCCUGACCCGCUGCCCGACGAGGAGUUAGUACCCGGCCAUGCGGAGGCGGGUAACCGCGGUGUGGUGAAGUAACCGCUCGGGUCGUCAUACCGCCGUGGAGGCAUGUGGCUGCUCGGUUUGGUCCUCUGAGGCUGUGAUUGGCUGCUGCUGAGGAUUGUCCAGAAGUUCAUUUGCAGCAUUGUUUCCAUGGCAACUAACAAGAAAACCAAACCAGAUGGACCAACAGGAAGUUCUGACCACAAAAUAUCUCAGUAUUUAC
Perca fluviatilis (European perch) is the source of this 261-nucleotide long non-coding RNA. RefSeq lists it as uncharacterized. The record is from RefSeq and is a predicted model, not a curated record. Lineage: Eukaryota; Metazoa; Chordata; Actinopteri; Perciformes; Percidae. The transcript is spliced from 2 exons.